CCAGCGUCCGAUGCCGUGCCUCUCGCGGGGUCGCCAUAGCCAUCUGUGUAGACUUGCAGCCAGUCCGCCAUCUGCCCGGUCGCCGGCCAGGUGCUGAGCACCAGCUGCCUUGUGACGGCCGUGUCCUGCGCCCUCUUGCUGGUCAUGUUGGCAAGGUCCAGCGACACAUCGACCUGCUGGGACCCGAAGAAGGAGGGGGCAGUGACGUCUGCCCUGGGGGUCCAACAACCUCCAUGUGCCUCCUUAAGAGCACCUCCAUCCGGGUCUUGGGGCAUCGUCGCAUCCUCUCCACUAGGGUGGCAGUGUCUGGCCGGCCGACAAGCUGCGUCGGGUCAUUCAACGUGUGCCUCUCGCCGUUGUUGAGAACAGUGUUCCUCCCCGCCUUGAGGAGAGUCUGGGCCGAAAUGGCAUACCUGUGGGCAUCAAAACACACCUGGAGUCCCACCCGCUGCAGCGUCUCAAGCUCCUCCCUCUGCAGUCUUUUCAGAGACAGGAAGGGCAGCGCAUAAUCCAGGCCCAGAUACAACUACAACAUCAUGGCAGUGAAAGUGCCCUGUGGAAGUCGUCGACACAGUGGAGGUGGGACCGGGUUCUUGCGAUGAUGGUGGUCAUGGCUGGCCUCUAACCGCCUGGUCGAUGGCAAGUCCAAGGGACGUCAUCGUCGGGGUGAUCUUGACUUCAGGUCCAAGGAAGGGUCAGCAUCAUUCAUGCCUGCAUAAGUGAUAGUCACAUGGCCCGCCGAUUUGGAGUGCGUCACCUUCAAAGAUGAGAUCACCGAGCCCUCUUUCCUGAGCAGCGAGUUGGACGUGCAACAACCUAAGAUUCAGCACCAAGGGAAUAUACGCCGAUGCCGCUUCUGCCCUUAUUGGAGUCGCCAUCCGCAACAUUUUGCCAAUCACGAAAUGACGCACACGGGAGAGAAGUCAUUCAGCUGUCAUGUCUGCCAGAGAAGGUUUUCUAAGAAGGUCAACUUGCAGAGACACAUGAGGAUUCACACGGGUGAAAAGCCGUACCAAUGCGAGGUUUGUCAGAAGGCGUUCGCACGGAGUACUGGCUUGAUGUAUCACAGGAAGGUUCAUGCGGAGGAAGGACAGUAGCAUGUAGCACUUGUGGGAAAGCAUUCAAACGGUAUUCUAACCUGUUGGUUCAUGAUACUAGUCGCAAAAAUCAGUAGCUGUAUAGGUGAGAGAACUGUUGGAAAACAUUUGUGCCGAGAACCCAUCUAUAUGAACAUAAGGGUGGAAGAGGGAUCCGCAUUCCCUUAUACCCGUGGGGGCUCUUGUAGAUAACCUUUUCAGAAGUUUCACUGUGUGUUUUAUUUCCUGUCCAUAUUUGUUCAGCAGGAAGCAACUUUAUUGUUGAGUCUUAAUUUGCGUUCACCAUCAGUUGUUUCAAUUGCUAGUCCAGAAAUGGCUGCAGUGCCAUUGAUAUGGGCCAGUUUACUGACAGAAGCAGGUAUCUCAUCUGGCAUAUGUGAGGUCUUUUUAAGUGACAUGAUCAGCUCUGUGGGCCAAAGAAAUACGAGCAUUACUGAGAAAUGACUUGGUAUGGCCUUGCUUCAGUCUUAGAAAAGCUAUCCAGUUUGCAGAAAACAGGUAAUAUGACUUUAAAUUGGAGUGAAAUGAAAAGCGACCGUGUACUUUAAGAGGAGCUGCAUGCAAAGUUACCGUUGAUGAAGGUAGGGCUGAAUGAAAAUAAAUUAGUGCUAAGUGGAAUAUAAAGAAAACAGUCUGACAUUAGGCAGUCAUUCAGUUUGUUGCUUGGGCACAAAGGUGGGUGCAAGGGGAGAGAUACAUAUCGGGUAUCUCCCGCUUGCACCCUCCUUUGUGCCCUUUAACAUCACGUGAUCAGCUUUGUGAAUCAAAGAAGUACUAACGUGCUGCCAAUAUCUGCCCAUUAUUGAAGCUGCAAAAUGCGAUUCAGUUUGCAAAAAAGGAACGAAGGAACUUGAAAUCUUGAGGAAAUUAAACGCUUCUUAGUUUAGGAGCUGCGUGCAAAGUUAGGCUUGCAUAUCUAGAGGUAAAUGAAAGUUAAAAGAAAAGAGCAACAGUCAGUCAGUCCGUGUCUGUUCAGUGAGUAGAUUGGGGGAACAACAUAACCAGUUGAUCAGGAAAUGGUUAGAGAAAAUCGAGUGAUCGCAAUACGCUAAGUGUCUGGAAGCAAACAACUAAGGUGUGCUUGUGUGGGAUAGAACACACAAAACAGCCGCCAUUGCUUACUUCAAGACAGUGUGAAUUAUCCCGACAUUUUUUCACUUCAGUGCCAUCUUAUAAAUGAAAGCAGCACAUCUGCAAUGGCAAACAUCAAAGAUUUUUUUUAAUUGGGAAGCACUGCCAUUAGGGGAAAGCUCCAGGUUCAAAGCAGCAGCAACAAAUUAUAAAACGUUGUUUGCAGACGGGCUAACCAAUUACUUUUAAAUACUUUCAUGAGCUUAAUUACAAGGGCAUUGUCGUCGCACUCUACUUGCAGGCGUUAUUCGCCCUCUAGUGUUGAAGGAGUUUGUGCGUUCAAGGCUGUACAACUCGCUUUCUCUUUUGUGUCGCAUUUAGGCUGUUUUAUUAUGCACUGUUCGGUGCACUUGUUGAUGCACUGGGUUGUGAAGAGUAUACAAGUGUUUCAUAUCUUAUUAUUUAGUGUCAUUAUAUUUCUUGUGUUGGAGAGUUUUCUUGUUACCAUAUGGGGUAUAUGGUAAUGUAUGUAUAAUAUAAAUACAGAGCUGUAUAUUGCGCAACGCCCAUCACUGGUUAUAAUUUCGUUUCCAUAUAUAUCUAUGUCCCCAACUUUCUUGCUUUCACCCUCAUGUAAUGCAUUGUAGAUGUCUUUAAGGUAUAAUAAAUGAAAUGGAAUAAUA
RNAcentral lists this long non-coding RNA (2851 nucleotides) under Ixodes scapularis (black-legged tick). RNAcentral describes it as "uncharacterized LOC120837421, transcript variant X2". Lineage: Eukaryota; Metazoa; Arthropoda; Arachnida; Ixodida; Ixodidae. The record is from RNAcentral.